RNAcentral lists this ribosomal RNA (1503 nucleotides) under uncultured organism. Its description in RNAcentral is "bacterial SSU rRNA". It matches the Rfam family "Bacterial small subunit ribosomal RNA". The record is from RNAcentral.
AGAGUUUGAUCCUGGCUCAGAACGAACGCUGGCGGCAUGGCUAAGACAUGCAAGUCGAACGGGCUAUAUUAACGGGUAACUGUGCGUAUAGCUAGUGGCGAAAGGGUGAGGAACAGAUAGGUAACGUACCCCGCACUUCGGAAUAGCGCCCUGAAAGGGGCAUUAAUACCGGAUGAUGUCAUGAACUUAAUUGUUUAUGAUCAAAGAUUUAUCGGUGUGGGAGCGGCCUACCUCCUAUCAGCUUGUUGGUGAGGUAACGGCUCACCAAGGCAACGACGGGUAGCGGGACUGAGAGGUUGACCCGCCACAUCGGGACUGAGACACUGCCCGGACCUCCACGGAGGGCUGCAGUAACGAAUAUUGGGCAAUGGGCGAAAGCCUGACCCAGCAAUGCCGCGUGCAGGAUGAAGCCCCUCGGGGUGUAAACUGCUGUCAGGUGGAAAAAAGCCGGUUUCGGCCGGUUGAUUGAUACCAAAGGAAGCCACGGCUAACUUCGUGCCAGCAGCCGCGGUAAGACGAAGGUGGCGAGCGUUGUUCGGAAUCACUGGGCUUAAAGCGCGCGUAGGCGGAAUAUCAAGCGUUUUGUGAAAUCCCCCGGCUCAACCGGGGAAUUGCUUGACGAACUGAUAUUCUUGAGGCAAGUAGGGGUGUGUGGAACUCUUGGUGGAGCGGUGGAAUGCGUAGAUAUCAAGAGGAACGCCGGAGGUGAAGACGGCACACUGGGCUUGUCCUGACGCUGAGGUGCGAAAGCGUGGGUAGCGAACGGGAUUAGAUACCCCGGUAGUCCACGCCGUAAACGAUGUCUACUAGGUUGCGGAAGUUUCUGACACUGUCGCGACCGAAGCAAAAGUGAUAAGUAGACCGCCUGGGGAGUACGGUCGCAAGAUUAAAACUCAAAGGAAUUGACGGGGGCUCACACAAGCGGUGGAGCAUGUGGAUUAAUUCGAAGCAACGCGCAGAACCUUACCUGGGUUUGACAUGCUUGGAUGCCUUCCUGGAAACAGGAUUUGGCUGCCUUCGGGUGAAACUUGCACAGGUGCUGCAUGGCUGUCGUCAGCUCGUGUCGUGAGAUGUCGGGUUAAGUCCUUUAACGAGCGAAACCCUUGUCGCUAGUUGCCAGCGAGUCAAGUCGGGGACUCUAGCGAGACUGCCGGUGUCAAACCGGAGGAAGGUGGGGAUGACGUCAAGUCCUCAUGGCCUUUAUGCCCAGGGCUUCACACGUGCUACAAUGGCGACUACAGAGCGAAGCGAUACCGCGAGGUGGAGCAAAUCGCACAAAAGUCGCCUCAGUUCGGAUUGUAGGCUGACAACUCGCCUACAUGAAGUUGGAAUCGCUAGUAAUCGCGUAUCAGCAAUGACGCGGUGAAUGUGUUCCUGAGCCUUGUACACACCGCCCGUCAAGUGAUGGAAGUCGGGAGUACCCGAAGUCGGGUUUGCUAACCUUUUGGAAGCGCCUGCCGACGGUAAGCUCGAUGACUGGCACUAAGUCGUAACAAGGUAACC